RNAcentral lists this ribosomal RNA (754 nucleotides) under Fragilariopsis kerguelensis. RNAcentral describes it as "partial Bacterial small subunit ribosomal RNA". It matches the Rfam family "Bacterial small subunit ribosomal RNA", at positions 1 to 804 of the family's 1533-position model. Lineage: Eukaryota; Bacillariophyta; Bacillariophyceae; Bacillariales; Bacillariaceae. The record is from RNAcentral.
UUGAAGAGUUUGAUCAUGGCUCAGAUUGAACGCUGGCGGCAUGGCUAAAACAUGCAAGUCGUACGAUUCCUUCGGGAAGAGUGGCGAAAGGGCGAGGAAUAUAAUCGAAUGUGUCCUAAGGUUGAGGAUAGCUUCUGGAAACGGAAGGUAAUACUCAAUGUCCUCUACGGAGAAAAGGUUUACCGCCUUUGGAGCAGCGAUUAUCCUAUCAGGUAGUUGGUGAGGUAAAGGCUCACCAAGCCGAAGACGGGUAGCGGGUGUGAGAGCAUGACCCGCCGCAUCGGGACUGAGACACUGCCCGGACUCCUACGGGAGGCUGCAGUAACGAAUCUUCCGCAAUGGGCGAAAGCCUGACGGAGCAAUGCCGCGUGUGGGAUUAAGCAUCUUCGAUGUGUAAACCACUGUCAGAAUAUAGAAAUACUGAUCAUAUUCAGAGGAAGGACCGGCUAAUUCAGUGCCAGCAGCCGCGGUAAUACUGAAGGUCCGAGCGUUAUUCGGAAUCACUGGGCUUAAAGCGUACGCAGGCGGAUUUGUAGGUAUCUUGUGAAAUCCCACGGCUCAACCGUGGAACUGCAGGGUAAACCACAAAUCUUGAGACAAGUAGGGGUUAGUGGAACGAUAUGUGGAGCGGUGAAAUGCGUAGAUAUAUAUCGGAACGCCAAUGGCGAAGGCAGCUAACUGGGCUUGUUCUGACGCUCAGGUACGAAAGCGUGGGUAGCGAACGGGAUUAGAUACCCCGGUAGUCCACGCCGUA